CCAAGAGAUCGGGAUAACACCUGGAAACAGAUGCUAAUACCGGAUAACAACAGAUGAUGCCUAUCAACUGUUUAAAAGAUGGUUCUGCUAUCACUCUUGGAUGGACCUGCGGUGCAUUAGCUAGUUGGUAGGGUAACGGCCUACCAAGGCGAUGAUGCAUAGCCGAGUUGAGAGACUGAUCGGCCACAUUGGGACUGAGACACGGCCCAAACUCCUACGGGAGGCAGCAGUG
RNAcentral lists this ribosomal RNA (232 nucleotides) under uncultured Lactobacillus sp. RNAcentral's name for it is "partial 16S ribosomal RNA". It matches the Rfam family "Bacterial small subunit ribosomal RNA", at positions 130 to 356 of the family's 1533-position model. Lineage: Bacteria; Bacillati; Bacillota; Bacilli; Lactobacillales; Lactobacillaceae. The record is from RNAcentral.